GUGGUAAGUAUCACUAGAAUUUUCUGGGUUUUGUAUUUUUAUUCAAAGUAAACAUCCCAACAACUCUUAAUAGGAAUUCAACAAAUAAUUUUCUGGGUUUUGUUUUCAAUGCUUUUAACUUCCAAGGCUACGGUAACCAUGAGCAACUUCCAAAUGUACCGGCACAUCAUGAGCCCUGGAUGGACUCUGUCCUGGACAUGGGAUAAAAAGGAAGUUAUAUGGUCAAUGGUGGGAGCUCAAGCCACAGAACAAGGCGAUUGUUCCAAGUUCAAAGGAAACAUACCACAUUGUUGCAAGAAGACUCCAACAGUUGUUGACUUGCUUCCUGGAGUCCCUU
Molecule: long non-coding RNA, 337 nt
Filed under: Manihot esculenta (cassava)
Lineage: Eukaryota; Viridiplantae; Streptophyta; Magnoliopsida; Malpighiales; Euphorbiaceae
Description: long non-coding RNA (MESC_LNC003540)
Source: RNAcentral